This 492-nucleotide ribosomal RNA is filed under the name uncultured bacterium. Its description in RNAcentral is "partial 16S ribosomal RNA". It matches the Rfam family "Bacterial small subunit ribosomal RNA", at positions 29 to 507 of the family's 1533-position model. The record is from RNAcentral.
AGUGAACGCUGGCGGCAUGCUUUACACAUGCAAGUCGAACGGCAGCGGGGUAGAGCUUGCUUCUCUGCCGGCGCGAGGCGAGCAGGGGAGAAGUACACCGCGAAGUCUACAGUUGAGGGGGGGAACAAGCAGGAAAAGUGACUAAAACAGCAUAAACUAUGUACGGGAAAGAUCAGGAGAUCGGAGUAGCUCUCGCGCUUUUUGAAGCGGAGGUCGGAUUAGCUAGUUGGGGGGGUAAAGGCGCACCAAGGCGAAGAUCCGUAGCGGGUCUGAGAGGAUGAUCAGCCACACUGGAACUGAGACACGGUCCAGACUCCUACGGGAGGCAGCAGUGGGGAAUAUUGGACAAUGGGCGCAAGCCUGAUCCAGCCAUGCCGCGUGUAUGAAGAAGGCCUUAGGGUUGUAAAGCACUUUUGUUAGGGAAGAAAAGCCAGCUGUUAAUACCGGGCGGUACUGACGGUACCUAAAGAAUAAGCACCGGCUAACUACGUG